This 152-nucleotide ribosomal RNA is filed under the name uncultured Bacteroidota bacterium. RNAcentral describes it as "uncultured Bacteroidetes bacterium partial 16S ribosomal RNA". It matches the Rfam family "Bacterial small subunit ribosomal RNA", at positions 355 to 504 of the family's 1533-position model. Lineage: Bacteria; Pseudomonadati; Bacteroidota. The record is from RNAcentral.
UGAGGAAUAUUGGACAAUGGAGGCAACUCUGAUCCAGCCAUGCCGCGUGCAGGAAGACUGCCCUAUGGGUUGUAAACUGCUUUUAUACAGGAAGAAACCUUGGUACGUGUACCAAGCUGACGGUACUGUAAGAAUAAGGAUCGGCUAACUCC